Molecule: long non-coding RNA, 522 nt
Filed under: Salmo salar (Atlantic salmon)
Lineage: Eukaryota; Metazoa; Chordata; Actinopteri; Salmoniformes; Salmonidae
Description: lncRNA (ENSSSAG00000101984.1)
Source: RNAcentral
GUCAGCCUUGGCCUUGGCUCUGCCCACAUGUUAGCAGAAGAUGAUUCAAGGACAUUAAGCACGCUGGUGGUUCCAAUUCAAAUGCUAAUGGAGGGAGGGACAGAGGUGUACAACAGAAGGACAGUCUCUGAAGUGUCCUACCAAAGAGGAAUACCAGUACUCAACCUGGACUAAAGAAUAAUACAGUACAACAACAACCCAUGUGUUCUCUUUGGAAGGAGGAAUUCACCAAUCACUAAAUGGGAUCUGCACUAAAGAGCAAUAGAGGGACCAUGUAAUACUUGACCUUAUUUGAGGAACAUCUAGCCACCAUGUUAGAACUAGUCUGAAGCAUUCAGAAGGACCGGUACAACAUCUACCCGUCAUCAGCUCUACCAGGAUGGGUCCACAUUGAAGGAGAUCUGAACCCCUGGAUCUCUUCACCAAAGAGGAAUAACACCAGGCUUCUCACCAUGGACUUGGAGGAAAACUCUGUCCUAGACCUGGAGUAGAGGGAGUAGUGGCUCUGUCCUAGACCUGGAG